GACGAACGCUGGCGGCGUGCCUAAUACAUGCAAGUCGAACGCUGAAGGAGGAGCUUUCUCUUCUUGAUGAGUUGCGAACGGGUGAGUAACGCGUAGGUAACCUGCCUGUUAGCGGGGGAUAACUAUUCGAAACGAUAGCUAAUACCGCAUAAGAGUAGAUGUUGCAUGACAUUUGCUUAUAAGGUGCAAUUGCAUCACUACCAGAUGGACCUUCGUUGUAUUAUCUAGUUGGUGGGGGAACGGCUCACCAAGGCGACGAUACAUAGCCGACCUGAGAGGGUGAUCGGCCACACUAGGACUGAGACAAGGCCCAGAAUCCUACGGGAGGCAGCAGUAGGGAAUCUUCGGGAAUGGACGGAAGUCUGACCGAGCAACGCCGCGUGAGUGAAGAAGGUUUUCGGAUCGUAAAGCUCUGUUGUAAGGGAAGAACGAGUGUGAGAGUGGAAAGUUCACACUGUGACGGUAUCUUACCAGAAAGGGACGGCUAACUACGUG
This 495-nucleotide ribosomal RNA is filed under the name uncultured bacterium. Its description in RNAcentral is "partial 16S ribosomal RNA". It matches the Rfam family "Bacterial small subunit ribosomal RNA", at positions 28 to 507 of the family's 1533-position model. The record is from RNAcentral.